This 429-nucleotide ribosomal RNA is filed under the name Chloroflexota bacterium. Its description in RNAcentral is "Chloroflexi bacterium partial 16S ribosomal RNA". It matches the Rfam family "Bacterial small subunit ribosomal RNA", at positions 355 to 776 of the family's 1533-position model. Lineage: Bacteria; Bacillati; Chloroflexota. The record is from RNAcentral.
UGGGGAAUAUUGCACAAUGGGCGCAAGCCUGAUGCAGCCAUGCCGCGUGUAUGAAGAAGGCCUUCGGGUUGUAAAGUACUUUCAGUCGGGAGGAAGGUGGUAAGGUUAAUAACCUUAUCAAUUGACGUUACCGACAGAAGAAGCACCGGCUAACUCCGUGCCAGCAGCCGCGGUAAUACGGAGGGUGCAAGCGUUAAUCGGAAUUACUGGGCGUAAAGCGCACGCAGGCGGUUGAUUGAGUCAGAUGUGAAAUCCCCGGGCUUAACCCGGGAAGUGCAUCUGAUACUGGUGAGCUAGAGGCUUGUAGAGGGGGGUAGAAUUCCAUGUGUAGCGGUGAAAUGCGUAGAGAUGUGGAGGAAUACCGGUGGCGAAGGCGGCCCCCUGGACAAAGACUGACGCUCAGGUGCGAAAGCGUGGGGAGCAAACAGG